Molecule: long non-coding RNA, 1015 nt
Organism: Marmota monax (woodchuck)
Lineage: Eukaryota; Metazoa; Chordata; Mammalia; Rodentia; Sciuridae
Exons: 6
Source: RefSeq, a predicted model, not a curated record
AACCACAGAGUACACUUGUCUGGGUCUCAGUUUCGUCAUCUCUAUAAUGAAGGGUUGGACUAAAUGACCCUUAACAUCUGUUUAACUCUGAGAUUCUGACAAUUAACAGCAAAACAAUGAGGAUCAAGAAAGUCUACACACGGUGAUGCAAAGCAAGGCGACUGGGUGGACACAUCCAACAGUCCUUCUUAGACUUCAGCUGCUCAGAGAAAGUACCUGAUGCUGAAAGGCAGGAAAUUGAACAAUGUCACCCAAAUAUGCCUUGUGUCAUGCACUGUUACAGCUGUAAGCUUUGGAUGCGAAUCCUGCCAGAUUGUGGCAUGGCACUCAACCCCUCAAUAAGAAGUCACCACCAGUCCCAUUCGGCACUGUGAGAACUCCAGCCAACAUCUCAAACCUGGUCCUUGCUCCGAGGAGCUGAUAAUGGUUUCUCUUCCAUUCUCCCAAACCAAGUAUCCACUUAGAAAGCUGGAAGUUUCUUCUUAGAAACUUCUCUGUUGCAAGAAUCUUCAGAAGCCUGGAUUCUGAACAGUCUCGCCUAAAAAUUUCUAGAAUUAACUUCCUUUCUUCUAUGACUGUCGGUGUGCUCUAUCAAAGAAGCCAGUGCCUCCCAUUGGACAAACUCGACUAGAAGACACAAGUACCCAGGAAUGCAGUUUGAAAGUAUUUAGAACAGUGCCUGGUACCUAGAAGAUGUUCUGAAUAACAUGUAGAAGGAUGGCCUCCAAGAAUAAGACAAGAGGAGACAUGUGUCAAAAUUCAAGAGUGAGCCAGAAGAUUCCUGUACCGAGGACAAUCCUUUCACUACAAGAAGAAAUUCAGAAGCAUAGCUCUAGAACUGAUGAGCAUGCUAAAGUGUUCUAUCAUUAUUUGUACUCCAUCUUAAAGUAAUCCGGAUGGCAUAAGGAUUCAGAUGGGAAAUCUUUAAGCCCAUUACUUUGAUUUAAUUAUGGACACAAAAUGAAAAUAUGGACUUUGGAGAGAAAGAGCCUUAGAAGAAGGAUUACUUGCCCUG